GGCAAUUCUUGGGCGACACACCCUGGAAUGGGGCUCCCUCCUCUCUGGUUCUGGGUGCUCUGGUUCCAGGUGUGUCACCUGAGAACCGCA
This is a non-coding RNA of Myotis davidii, 90 nucleotides long. NCBI's taxonomy places the organism in Eukaryota, Metazoa, Chordata, Mammalia, Chiroptera, Vespertilionidae. The record is from Rfam.